AGAGUUUGAUCCUGGCUCAGGAUGAACGCUGGCGGUAUNNUUAACACAUGCAAGUCGAACGGAGACUUAGGUACUUAGUGGCGGACGGGUGAGUAACGCGUGAGAAUCUGCCUUCAGGUUCGGGACAACCACUGGAAACGGUGGCUAAUACCGAAUGUGCAGCAAUGUGAAAAAUUUAUUGCCUGAAGAUGAGCUCGCGUCUGAUUAGCUAGUAGGUGUGGUAAGAGCGCACCUAGGCGACGAUCAGUAGCUGGUCUGAGAGGAUGAUCAGCCACACUGGGACUGAGACACGGCCCAGACUCCUACGGGAGGCAGCAGUGGGGAAUUUUCCGCAAUGGGCGAAAGCCUGACGGAGCAAUACCGCGUGAGGGAGGAAGGCUCUUGGGUUGUAAACCUCUUUUCUCAAGGAAGAAAAAAAUGACGGUACUUGAGGAAUAAGCAUCGGCUAACUCCGUGCCAGCAGCCGCGGUAAUACGGAGGAUGCAAGCGUUAUCCGGAAUGAUUGGGCGUAAAGCGUCCGCAGGUGGCUAUGUAAGUCUGCUGUUAAAGAGUCUGGCUCAACCAGAUAAAGGCAGUGGAAACUACAUGGCUAGAGUGCGUUCGGGGCAGAGGGAAUUCCUGGUGUAGCGGUGAAAUGCGUAGAGAUCAGGAAGAACACCGGUGGCGAAAGGCUCUGCUAGGCCGCAACUGACACUGAGGGACGAAAGCUAGGGGAGCGAAUGGGAUUAGAUACCCCAGUAGUCC
This 744-nucleotide ribosomal RNA is filed under the name uncultured bacterium. RNAcentral's name for it is "bacterial SSU rRNA". It matches the Rfam family "Bacterial small subunit ribosomal RNA", at positions 8 to 796 of the family's 1533-position model. The record is from RNAcentral.